Molecule: long non-coding RNA, 344 nt
Filed under: Mytilus galloprovincialis (Mediterranean mussel)
Lineage: Eukaryota; Metazoa; Mollusca; Bivalvia; Mytilida; Mytilidae
Source: RNAcentral
GUCUGUUGGAAAUCUUUCUUUAAAUUUUUAUACUUAUUUUACAAAAUGUACCUCUGUUUGUAUGUCUGUAAGAUUCAAAUCCAUCAGAGAUUUCUGAGGAACUACAAACCAAGAGUUUCUGAAAGUCAUCAGUCCUCAUGUGAACAUGCUAUACUGAGUAAUGUAGUUCUCACCCUUUCAACUCCCCGUUAACGGGAUGCCUAAAUAUUGUAACACCAAAUUUCAUAUAUUCUUUUCGUAAAAUACGCUCUGUAGUUUUAUAGGAAAGAGUACAAGAGUUAUGCAUACAUGUAUUUAAGUUACUAUUCACAAUACACUCAUUACAAGUGAAUGAAAUUGCAGCA